GAUCGUUUUUGGGUCGAAACGCCACGAGAAAUCCAAAAGACGACGCUUUUUCUGGGAGGCAACUAGCAAAGGAAGUAUGUGGUAUUGUGUUACCCCAAGAGAGGAACAAAACAACACUAAAACACAACAAAAGGAAAACAAAUUUUAAUCAGUUGAACCAUAAGAUAAUCGAUGAAAGACUAAACAACGUUUAAACGGUAGCCACAAAAAAACACGCAACUGGGAUGCAAUGCCACAAGAGAGAAAAAGGAGAGGAGGAAAAUAAUGCAUGAUGUUUUCAGAAACAAUAAUACAAUGCCGCAAGAGAGAAAAAGAAGAGGAGCUACAAGAGAGACAAAGGAGAGGAGGAAGACGAUGAUAUCAGAAACUACAAUGUCGCGAAGAGUCUGCGGUUUAUUUAACAUGAAAUGGCGUGUCGGUUGCUCCAGAAAUCGACGUCUAUAGUCACCUAGANGUCGGUUAUCUAAAUAAUUCGAUGUCCAAGAUAACAUCUAAACUGACUUUUUGAAUGCCCAUUANACGUCGGCCUCCGGGGGAGCCGACGUCUAGGGCGCUGAACCGAUUGACGUUUCAUUUCCUGUCAGGGAAGUAGACGACAUUUGUGAAUGGGCGCCGACAUCUAUAAUAAUAUAGACGUCGGGUCUCUGCUGUCGGAUGUCGAAGUGCCUCGAAGUUUGGUGAACAUAAUUAAUUACAGGCACAUAGACCCCGCGCACCAAAAUAUGCAACGUGUAUUUUGCAGAAAUUUUUGUCUUCCCGCC
Molecule: long non-coding RNA, 761 nt
Filed under: Vigna radiata
Lineage: Eukaryota; Viridiplantae; Streptophyta; Magnoliopsida; Fabales; Fabaceae
Description: long non-coding RNA (VRAD_LNC006148)
Source: RNAcentral